This 254-nucleotide ribosomal RNA is filed under the name uncultured bacterium. RNAcentral describes it as "partial 16S ribosomal RNA". It matches the Rfam family "Bacterial small subunit ribosomal RNA", at positions 524 to 776 of the family's 1533-position model. The record is from RNAcentral.
CACGUAGGCACCAAGCGUUGUCCGGAUUUAUUGGGCGUAAAGAGCUCGUAGGCGGUUCGGUAAGUCGGGUGUGAAAACUCUGGGCUCGACCCAGAGCCGCCACCCGAUACUGCUGUGACUUGAGUUCGGUAGGGGAGCGGGGAAUUCCUGGUGUAGCGGUGAAAUGCGCAGAUAUCAGGAGGAACACCAGUGGCGAAGGCGCCGCUCUGGGCCGAGACUGACGCUGAGGAGCGAAAGCGUGGGUAGCAAACAGG